Molecule: ribosomal RNA, 1017 nt
Filed under: uncultured archaeon
Lineage: Archaea
Description: partial 16S ribosomal RNA
Rfam family: Archaeal small subunit ribosomal RNA
Source: RNAcentral
CCACCUUCAUGCGAAGCGUAGGGAUUAUGAGUGGCGAGGACUUAGUCUCGUCUUUUGCGGAGUGUAAACGGCUCCGAGAAUAAGGGUGUGGGCAAACACUGCCCGCAACUUGUUUGUGGCAUGUGACGGUCGUGGGAAGUGGCCUAUGACUGGUGGCAGCCGCCGCGGUAACACCAGCGCCUCGAGUGGUACCCACGAAUAUUGGGCCUAGAGCGUCCGUAGCUGGACUGCCAAGUCCACUGUGAAAUGUUGGGGCUCAACCUCAACGCGUGCAGUGGAUACUGCCGGUCUUGGGAACGGGGGAGGUUCGGGGUACUUUCGGGGUAGGGGUAAAAAUCCGUUGAGCCUGAAAGGACCACCAGUGGCGAAGGCGCCGAACCAAACGUGUCCGACAGUGAGGGACGAAAGCUGGGGGAGCGAACGGGAUUAGAUACCCCGGUAGUCCCAGCUGUAAAUGAUGCAGACUGUGGUGUUGCCCGUAAGUAAUUACGGGCAGUGCUGUAGCGUAGGUGUUAAGUCUGCCGCCUGGGGAGUACGGUCGCAAGACUGAAACUUAAAGGAAUUGGCGGGGGAGCACCACAAGCCGUGGAUGCUACGGUUUAAUUGGAUACAACGCCGGAAAUAUCACCAAGUGCGACGGCAGUAUGAAGGCCAGACCAAAGAUCUUGCCUGACGAGCCGAGAGGUAUUGCAUGGCCAUCGUCAGCUCGUGGUGUGAACUGUCCUGUUAAGUCAGGCAACGAGCGAGACCCAUGUGCUUAGUUACCAACUUCGCCUCCGGGCGAGGUGUACUCUAAGCAGACUGCCCGUGCUAAAUGGGAGGAAGGAGUGGGCGACGGUAGGUCAGUAUGGUCCGAAACACUUGGGCUACACGCGGCAUACAGUGGUCGGAACAAUGGCUGCGACGCCGAGAGGCGGAGCUAAUCCCCGAAAUCCGCCGUGGUUCGGAUUGAGGUUACACUCACGGUCAUGAAGAUGGAAUGCUAUAAACCCGGGCUAUCCCGCGUGACGCCCCUCC